RNAcentral lists this long non-coding RNA (2610 nucleotides) under Homo sapiens (human). Its description in RNAcentral is "non-protein coding LINC02482:25". The record is from RNAcentral. Lineage: Eukaryota; Metazoa; Chordata; Mammalia; Primates; Hominidae.
UACAAUCCCUGAGCUAGACACAAAGGUUCUCCAAGGCCCCAGCAGAGUCGAUUGGUAUAUUCACAAACCCUGAGCUAGACACACGGUGCUGAUUGGUGUAUUUACAAUCCCUGAGCUAGACAUAAAGGUUCUCCACAUCCCCACCAGACUCAGGAGCCCAGCUGGCUUCACCAAGUGGAUCCCACACCAGGGCUGCAGGUGGAGCUGCCUGCGAGAACGGCACCGUGCGCCCACACUCCUCAGCCCUUGGGUGGUGAUGGGACUGGGCGCCGUGGAGCAGGGGGUGGUGCUCGUCGAGGAGGCUCGGGCAGCACAGGAGCCCAUGGAGGGGGUGGGAGGCUCAGGCAUGGCGGGCUGCAGGUCCCGAGCCCUGCCCCUCGGAAAGGCAGCUAAGGCCCGGUGAGAAAUCGAGCACAGCGCCGGUGGGCUGGCACUGCUGAGGGACCCAGUACACCCUCCGCAGCCGCUGGCCCGGGUGCUAAGCCCCUCAUUGCCGGGGGCUGGCAGGGCCAGCCGGCUGCUCCGAGUGCGGGGCCCACCAAGCCCACGCCCACCCUGAACUCCAGCUGGCCCGCAAGCGCCGUGUGCAGCCCCGGUGCCCGCUCGCGCCUCUCCCUCCACACCUCCCUGCAAGCUGAGAGAGCCGGCUCUGGCCUUGGCCAGCCCAGAAAGGGGCCUCCACAGUGCAGCAGUGGGCUGAAGGGCUCCUCAAGUGCUGCCAAAGUGGGAGCCCAGGCAGAGGAGGCACCGAGAGUGAGCGAGGGCUGUGAGGACUGCCAGCACACUGUCACCUCUCACCAACAUUCUAAAUCAUAAACACCCAGGCCGGGCGUGUGGCUCACGCCUAUAAUCCCAGCACUUUGGGAGGCUGAGGUGAGAGGAUCGCUUGAGCUCAGGAGUUCCAUACCAGCCUGGGCAACAAGGGAAAAAACCCUACCAAAAAAAACACAAGAAAUUAGCUGGGCGUGGUGGCGCGUGCCGAUAGUCCCAGCUACUUGAGAGGCUGAGCCGGGAAGAUUGCUUGAGCCCAGCAGGUCGAGACCGAGGUGAGCUCUGAACGCCUGAUUGCGCCACUGCACCCCAGCCCAGUGACAGGGCGAGACCCUGUCUCAAAAUAAAUAAAUAAAAAUAAUAAACAACCGAAUUCAGUGGUCCCGUUAGAAUAUUCCAGGCUCCGAGAAGCCAGGUGCUCACAGCGUCGGGAUUUGCCCCCAGCCAGGGCCUCCGCUCCCUCUUGCCUCGGGCAGAUGCUCCUGGAACACAGAGCUGCGGCCUCGGUGCUGAUGCUGAGUGCUGUGACCCAGCCUCCCCCUACUUUUUUCCUAAGGGUAUAAGCUUCACUCUGCCUGGGGCUUUGGCUGUAAGUUGGAGUCUGGCUUUACCCACUGUGGGCACCCAAGGCCAAGGUGGGUCUGAUUCACCACUGUUUCCUCAGCCCUGCCAGGCUCUGAAUAUGCCUUUAGGAAUCAUUCUGGAAGAUUUCUUUCUUCACUGGACUAUAUAAGUGCCUCUGCGAGAAAACAGGCCCUAGGGGCAGGUACUUAGUCAGUUUAGUCAUCUGUUUCCUCAGCUUGAAAUGGGCUUGGCAUACAGCAGGAGCCCAGUAAAUGUUGCUUUAAUGCUCAUUUCCCAAGAGAUCUUUAUUAAGCACCCACUGCAUGUCAUUGUGUCUAGGCUUAUUCACUGUGUACCUCUAGCAGAAAGUUAAGGGGACCCUCCAUGCUUGAUGGCCAGAGGUCACUCUCAGCUCCUACAGGUCACUCUCCGGUCCUUAAACGUGGCCCUCUCCAUCUUCAAAGCCAGUAAGAGCAUGUCGGAUCCUUCUUAUCCUUCCAGCCUCUCUGUCAUCCCCUUCUGCUCCCAGCUGGAGAAAACUCUGCUUUUAAGGGGCUUGCCAUGGUCCAAAUAUGUGAGUCCCCCCAAAAUUCAUAUGUUGCAAAGCAAUCCCCAAUGUGAUGAUAUUAGGAGGUGGGGUCUUUGGGAGGUGAUGUGGUCAUGAAGGCUCAGCUUUCAUGAAUGAGAUUAGCACCCUCAUAAAACAACUCCACAGGGCCGCCUUACCCCUUCUGCUGUGGGAGGUUAUAGCAAAAAGAUGGGCUUCUAUGAACCAGAAGUGGGCCCUCACCAGGCACCAAACCUGCUGGCACCGUGAUCUUGUACUGCUCAGCCUUCAGAACUCAGAAAAUACAUUUCUGUUGUUUAGAAGACACCCAGUUUCUGGUAUUUUGUUAGAGCAGCGUGAACGGACUAAAAUAGUGCUUAUGUGGUUGUGUAACAGCAUCGAUUCCAUGUUAAAGAACAAUUUUGCUUGCUCAAUUAUAAUUAUUGCUUUGCUUAAGUUUUAGACUAUGCUAAAAACAGCCUCAGGACCUUCAGCACUGAUCAACAAUCCUGGGCAUGGGCUGACCGACAGUUUUCACCCAGAGAGUGAAGAUCAUGGAGGAGCCAUCUUAAAUUCUGCCCAGCGCAGGCUCCCAGGAAUCCUAAUGUCACGAUCUCACUGCAGCCAAUGUGACAAACACAGCAGUAAUUAAGUCUAGAGAGCUAAACACACCUCAAAAAGAAUUGUCUCUUGGUAUGAGUGGAAUGGAAUAAAAUACAUGGAAACCC